UGGUAGUCCCCCCCCUAAACGAUGUCAACUAGUUGUUGGGGAUUCGUUUCCUUGUAACGUAGCUAACGCGUGAAGUUGACCGCCUGGGGAGUACGGUCGCAAGAUUAAAACUCAAAGGAAUUGACGGGGACCCGCACAAGCGGUGGAUGAUGUGGAUUAAUUCGAUGCAACGCGAAAAACCUUACCUACCCUUGACAUGGUUGGAACCUUGCUGAAAGGUGGGGAUGCUCGAAAGAGAACCGAUACACAGGUGCUGCAUGGCUGUCGUCAGCUCGUGUCGUGAGAUGUUGGGUUAAGUCCCGCAACGAGCGCAACCCUUGUCCUUAGUUGCUACGCAAGAGCACUCGAAGGAGACUGCCGGUGACAAACCGGAGGAAGGUGGGGAUGACGUCAAGUCCUCAUGGCCCUUAUGGGUAGGGCUUCACACGUCAUACAAUGGUCGGAACAGAGGGCUGCCAACCCGUGAGGGGGAGCUAAUCCCAGAAAACCGAUCGUAGUCCGGAUCGUAGUCUGCAACUCGACUACGUGAAGCUGGAAUCGCUAGUAAUCGCGGAUCAGCAUGCCGCGGUGAAUACGUUCCCGGGUCUUGUACACACCGCCCGUCACACCAUGGGAGUGGGUUUUACCAGAAGUGGCUAGUCUAACCGCAAGGAGGACAGUCACCACGGUAGGAUUCAUGACUGGGGUGAAGUCGUAACAAGGUAGCCGUAUCGGAAGGUGCGGCUGGAUCACCUCCUUUCUCGAGCUCAACGUUUUAAAGUGAAGUGCUAAAGCGCUCACGCUUAUCGGCUGUAAGAAGACAGGCUAAGGGUCUGUAGCUCAGUUGGUUAGAGCACCGUCUUGAUAAGGCGGGGGUCGUUGGUUCGAAUCCAACCAGACCCACCAUGAUUCGCACGGCAGGGGAUUAAUGAAUGUUAAUCGCCCAAGCGAUGAAAUCUACGGACCCUUCAGCAUCGAGGUACUGGGGGGGAUUAGCUCAGCUGGGAGAGCACCUGCUUUGCAAGCAGGGGGUCGUCGGUUCGAUCCCGUCAUCCUCCACCAAUCAUUAAUGCACAGCACUCUUAAACGAAGAGUUUAAGUAAAGAGUGAUGCGCAUUGGCGAUUGAGCCAGUCAGUAAGUCGUUUAAGGCAAGGCGUUUUAAGUGAUGCUGUCGUUCUUUAACAAUCUGGAAGAAGUAGUAAAGGUCAUUUGAAAGCGCUUAAAGAUGGGCGUGAUUAGGAUGAUCAGGGUUGUGAUUGUAUCAAUGUAUGAAAAGGUGAUCGAAAGAUUGCUUUGGAAUACGGCGCAACACGAAUACUCAACCUAUGGCGGGGUGAAAGAGUUUCCACAGAUGGCUGAGCUUCGGUUCGGUGUAGGUGGGAUGCUCAGAGACGCACUCGUUAUAGGGUCAAGCGAACAAGUGCAUGUGGUGGAUGCCUUGGCGAUCACAGGCGAUGAAGGACGCAGUAGCCUGCGAAAAGCGACGGGGAGCUGGCAAACGAGCUUCGAUCCGUCGAUGUCCGAAUGGGGAAACCCGGCCCUUCUGUGGGUCAUCCUGAGCUGAAUACAUAGGCUCAGUGAAGCGAACGUGGUGAACUGAAACAUCUAAGUAACCGCAGGAAAAGAAAUCAACCGAGAUUCCCAAAGUAGUGGCGAGCGAAAUGGGAUCAGCCUGUACUCUUUAUCACGACCGUUAGCCGAACACUCUGGAAAGAGUGGCCAUAGCAGGUGAUAGCCCUGUAGGUGAAAGCGGAUGUGUGGAACUAGGUGUACGACAAGUAGGGCGGGACACGUGAAAUCCUGUCUGAAGAUGGGGGGACCAUCCUCCAAGGCUAAAUACUCGUGAUCGACCGAUAGUGAACCAGUACCGUGAGGGAAAGGCGAAAAGAACCCCGGGAGGGGAGUGAAAUAGAUCCUGAAACCGCAUGCAUACAAACAGUCGGAGCCUCGCAAGGGGUGACGGCGUACCUUUUGUAUAAUGGGUCAGCGACUUACGUUCAGUAGCAAGCUUAACUGAUUAAGGCAGGCGUAGCGAAAGCGAGUCCGAAUAGGGCGUUCAGUUGCUGGGCGUAGACCCGAAACCAAGUGAUCUAUCCAUGGCCAGGUUGAAGGUGCGGUAACACGUACUGGAGGACCGAACCCACUAAUGUUGAAAAAUUAGGGGAU
Molecule: unclassified non-coding RNA, 2146 nt
Filed under: uncultured bacterium
Lineage: Bacteria
Description: partial contains 16S ribosomal RNA, 16S-23S ribosomal RNA intergenic spacer, and 23S ribosomal RNA
Rfam family: Bacterial small subunit ribosomal RNA (bases 1-739)
Source: RNAcentral